Prunus avium (sweet cherry) is the source of this 736-nucleotide long non-coding RNA. RefSeq lists it as uncharacterized. Lineage: Eukaryota; Viridiplantae; Streptophyta; Magnoliopsida; Rosales; Rosaceae. The record is from RefSeq and is a predicted model, not a curated record.
AAAAUGACAACACAAAAUUCUCAUGCGCUCAUUGAGUUUUGGUUACCCUAGCACUCUUUCAUCUUCACAGCUACUAGCAAAAAGAAGCAAUACUCUUCACAGACCCACAAAAAAGAAAUUGAGAGCAGAGUCUUCACGAUCUACCCUAGGUUAACUUCAUGACCAUGGAUGAUCAUCUUACGAUGCUCGAAUGUAGUGAAGCUCUUCAUGAAACUUGUUGCAAUGGAUGUCAACUAUAACAUAUCCGAAUUUGAGCUCCAUUGAACAAGUAUAACUUAUCCAACCGAUCCAGCAUUUAACCCUAGCUCUAAAGGUUCGUCUUGGGCCAAUUUUUACCUCCAUGAUGUCAUCUUGAUUUUUCUUGUUACCAUACCAUUUGGUAACUAGAACUUACCUUGAUGGAGUGCAAUUUUCUGAGACAAAGAGCGUCUUUGUGAAGACAAAAACCAAAAAUCUCAUCAUGACAUAGAGAAAAAGAAUCAUUAUGUUAUUGAUGGGUGAGUUGGAAAUGAGGAGAGAGAGAAGGAGCAAAAGAAAAAGGGGCAUAAGCCCAAUUGAAGGGGGGAUUCGACAAAUUUGGAUCUAGAGAGCUGGAGAGGAAGCAGAAGGUGCAGCCAAGCAAGAAGGAGAGGAAGCAAAAAGUAAGGAGAGAAAGAUUUCCACCAUUAAAGACCUUGAGCUUCCAUCACUUUCACAAAAUCUGUAAACUCUUUCUAGUUAUAUUUUGAAUUCGUGU